Molecule: long non-coding RNA, 139 nt
Organism: Octopus sinensis (East Asian common octopus)
Lineage: Eukaryota; Metazoa; Mollusca; Cephalopoda; Octopoda; Octopodidae
Exons: 3
Source: RefSeq, a predicted model, not a curated record
CAUAUAUCUAUAAAAUACUAGAAUCUUUUCUGUUAGGCUGCACCUGUGGAAAUUUCAAAGUUUACUGAAAAUUUCAAAAUUUGGUGUAUUGAUGUAAUUUUCCACGCUGAAUCUUAGGGGCUAAUUCACUUUCUCUAGA